GUCCACACUGUAAACGAUGAUAGCUAGGUGUGGGGGGUCUGACCCCUUCCGUGCCGGAGUUAACGCAAUAAGCUAUCCACCUGGGGAGUACGACCGCAAGGUUGAAACUCAAAGGAAUUGACGGGGGCCCGCACAAGCAGUGGAUUAUGUGGUUUAAUUCGAAGCAACGCGAAGAACCUUACCAGGUCUUGACAUCCGACUAACGAGAUAGAGAUAUGUCAGGUGCCCUUCGGGGAAAGUCGAGACAGGUGGUGCAUGGUUGUCGU
RNAcentral lists this ribosomal RNA (266 nucleotides) under uncultured bacterium. Its description in RNAcentral is "partial 16S ribosomal RNA". It matches the Rfam family "Bacterial small subunit ribosomal RNA", at positions 793 to 1055 of the family's 1533-position model. The record is from RNAcentral.